UUGUACCCGCUGGAAAUUAAGCAUAUCAAUAAGCGGAGGAAAAGAAACCAACAGGGAUUGCCCCAGUAACGGCGAGUGAAGCGGCAAGAGCUCAAAUUUUAAAGCUGGCGCUUCAGGUGUCCGCGUUGUAAUUUGGAGAGGCAUCUUCGGUGCGGGCGCCGGCCUGUGUUCCUUGGAACAGGACGUCACAGAGGGUGAGAAUCCCGUGCUUGGCCGGCUGUCCCGUCCCAUGUGUGGCGCCUUCGACGAGUCGAGUUGUUUGGGAAUGCAGCUCAAAAUGGGUGGUAAAUUCCAUCUAAAGCUAAAUAUUGGUGGGAGACCGAUAGCGCACAAGUAGAGUGAUCGAAAGAUGAAAAGCACUUUGAAAAUAGAGUUAAACAGUACGUGAAAUUGUUGAAAGGGAAGCGCUUGAGACCAGACUCGGCCGGGAACGAUCAGCCGUCCCUUCUGGGCGGUGCACUCGUCUCCGGUUGGGCCAGCAUCGGUUGAGACGGCGGGACAAAGGCUUCGGGAAUGUGGCUCCUCUCGGGGAGUGUUAUAGCCCGUGGCGCAACGCCGCCAGCCUCGACCGAGGACCGCGCUUCGGCCAGGAUGCUGGCGUAAUGGCCUUCAGCGACCCGUCUUGAAACACGGACCAAGGAGUCUAACAUCUAUGCGAGUGUUUGGGUGUCAAACCCUUGCGCGGAAUGAAAGUGAACGGAGGUGGGAACCCGCGAGGGUGCACCAUCGACCGGUCCUGAUGUCUUCGGAUGGAUCUGAGUAGGAGCAUAGCUGUUGGGACCCGAAAGAUGGUGAACUAUGCCUGAAUAGGGUGAAGCCAGAGGAAACUCUGGUGGAGGCUCGCAGCGGUUCUGACGUGCAAAUCGAUCGUCAAAUUUGGGUAUAGGGGCGAAAGACUAAUCGAACCAUCUAGUAGCUGGUUCCUGCCGAAGUUUCCCUCAGGAUA
This 946-nucleotide ribosomal RNA is filed under the name Imaia gigantea. RNAcentral describes it as "eukaryotic LSU rRNA". It matches the Rfam family "Eukaryotic large subunit ribosomal RNA", at positions 22 to 980 of the family's 3401-position model. The record is from RNAcentral. Lineage: Eukaryota; Fungi; Ascomycota; Pezizomycetes; Pezizales; Morchellaceae.